Molecule: long non-coding RNA, 1205 nt
Organism: Oxyura jamaicensis (ruddy duck)
Lineage: Eukaryota; Metazoa; Chordata; Aves; Anseriformes; Anatidae
Exons: 4
Source: RefSeq, a predicted model, not a curated record
AGGGGGCUUUCACCUGCCCAGACAAGAUGUCUGUUUGCUGGUCUGUGUGUGAGUUAUGCAAGGAAAAAGCACCGAAGAGCGGUGGCUGUGAACCUGACCCAAGAACAUCUCCCCUCCGGGCUCCUCGCAGCAAGAAGCCCUGCUCCAGUCUGUGCCAGGAAAAGACAGCUAUGGGGACAUAACCUCAGGCUUCAGCAUCCUCUGGCAUUUUGCUUCCAGAACUCCUACGUUUGUUCAGGUCUGCCUAUGUUGGAUCAGUUCCCUGAACUGGACCAUAUAGACUGGUUGCCUAAGCAGAUGGACCAACACAAAAAGGACUGUGGUACAGAGAAGAGGAGAAAAGGAAAAAAAAAAAAAAAAAAAAAAGCAGAGGGAGUCCUGAAUUAUUGGAAACCACAACGGCCUCAAAAGUCUCCGUAACGUGAAACUGCAGAUAAGGUUGGUCAUAGCCCGUGACAUGCAGCUGACAGCUGAGCCCAUGGGAGAAGAGCUUCCCAGCAGCAUUGUGCAAGGGGCUGAUACCGCGUCCUCCUAAAUCUUGGAGGGCUGAAGCUUAUUUGUACAACAAACAAGGCCCGAUUGGAGUUUACCGUGCAGAAUUGUGCCUCUGUAACACAGUUCAGCUGUGUGUGUAUUUCAUGGCAAAGAAAAUAUAGUGAUGACUUCCACUAGGUUUCUUCAUCAGUGGCCAUUGCUUUAAUGCUCGUUUGACUGGUUAAGUUAAAAGAAGUGCAUUGGGCAGGAUUCUGAAUAAAUGUAAAUUAGAAUUGACUCAUUAAAAUAUUUGGAGUUACAGGCACAAACAGGAUCAGAGUCAAGCCACUUGUCCUAGUUUCUGUCACACAAACACUAACCCUUUAUAAAUCAUUAAUUUCCAGACUGUUUAUUAUCCAGGGGAAGUAACAAAACAGUAGUAUCACAUAACACAUCCUAAGAAUGCCUUGUUCAUUUUAAGAGCAAAUAAAACUAAAUAGCACCAAGUUGUUAGUGAUGCAGCCUACGAGACCAAGCAGAAAGACAAAAAAGGGGAGCUUAAUCAGGCUAAGGCCACAAAAUAAACAGGGGAAUGGGUUGGGAAAAAAAUAAAAAUAAAAAUAAAAAUAAAAGUAGUACAAGAGUGACUUCACAUAGAGUAUCUUCACAUAGAUAUUCUUUGUUUAUUAUCACAUGGAAAUUCUCCGCUCGUUACAUGGUGGUGCUUUCAC